GUUUAUUUCCAAAUACAUUAUUUGAAAAGGACAUUAGGAAGCACUACAUUUCUGAAAGAGUGGCCAGGCACUGGACUGGGCUGCCCAGGGAGGUGGUUGAGUCACCGUCCCUGGAGGUGUUCAAGAAAUGUUUAGAUGUUGUGUUGAGAGACAUGGUUUAGUGGGGUUACUGGUGGUAGGUGGCUGGUUGAACCGGAUGAUAUUGUAGGUCAUUUUCAACCUAGCUAAUUCUAUGAUUCUAUGAAAAAGCACUCAUGCAGGAAAGAAACAGGGCUCUGUGUGGCAGAGCUCAGAGUGUGGUCACCAGUGGCACAGAGUCUGCCUGGAGACCUGUGACAAGUGGUGUUCCCCAGCGGUUGGUGCUGGGUCUGGUCUUGUUGAACAUCUUCAUUAAUGAGCUGGAUAAAGGGAUAGAGUCUACCCUCAGCAAGUCUGCUGAUGAUACAAAGCUGGGAGGAUUGGUUUAUACACAGGAAGGCUAUGCUAACAAUCAGCAAGAUCUGGGCAGACUGGAGAGUUGAUCAGGGAGGAAUGAGGUCGGUAAAAACGGUAGGGGGAUGCGUGCUGAUUGACAUGGUGAACAAAAGGAAGGGCAUCAAUCACAGGCGCGUGCUUGCUGAUGUAAUGCCUCGUGCUAGGCGGGUUAAAGGGGGGGGGGGUGAGUGCGUGAGUGAGUGAGUCGGGUGUGAUUGGGCAUGUGCAGCGGCUGUAUGGUUAUAAAAGACAGUGCAAAAGUUCCAGUAAAUGAAAGUUGACUCCACAGCAUCUGUGAUUGUGUCUCUCUCCCCGGGAUGGGAUCCUGGUUCUUUAGAGUCUAUUAAUUGUCGUGGUGACCCCAAAGUGACACAGCAACGUGAUCCGGGGCCGAAUAUGGCCGGAAUUGUGGUACGCACCAGUGCAAGCGGGGCUCAGGGUAAUCCAGCGGGAAUUGUGGUGCACCAGUGCAAGCGGGGCUCGGGGUAAUCCAGACUUCACCAUGUCAAUGGCAUCUGUGAAGGAUCUGUAUACUCCUUUUCAUCGGCAUAAUACCAGGAAAGCGAUUCUUACGCCAGCGCAGAUGGUGUUGUUUGAGAAUAAGUGGGAGCAGGAUGCGCUGGAUGGGGCGAUGCAUAAUGCCACGCUCCAGCUGGGUCAUGCCUUAGAGGCCGAGGAAGGAGACGGGGACGGCGCUUCAGCCCCGACGGGCCCAGUCCCUGCGGCUGGGGGGAGCGAGUGGCCCCCAGGGCCUGCCCACUGCGGGAUGGCUCUUGUGGUCUUGGCUGCCACUGGCGUGCUGAGGAGGGUGGCAGCCGGGAGCAGUGGAGCGGCGGGGCCCGGCUGAAGGCGCUGCUGGAAGACGCAACGUGUGGGCCUGCGGGCACACAGUGGGGGACUGCGGGAGGGCAGUGAGCUGGUGCUGUGGCUGCUGUGGAUGCUGUGCACCCUGUUGCUGCUGCUCCUUGUGUUGCAGUCAGGGUUACCUACCCUUCUUAUGAUUCCUCAACAUUAUGAACUUAGUGUUGUUGACCUCAAAGAUUGUUUUUUCACUAUUCCUCUUCACCCAGAUGAUUGUGACAGAUGCUUCGGGUUGCAACUCAAGGGCAGGUUACAUUUGGCUAGAUGAAAAUAAAACUUGGAGUUUUGUAACA
Numida meleagris (helmeted guineafowl) is the source of this 1628-nucleotide long non-coding RNA. NCBI's taxonomy places the organism in Eukaryota, Metazoa, Chordata, Aves, Galliformes, Numididae. The record is from Ensembl.